Molecule: long non-coding RNA, 420 nt
Filed under: Oryza sativa Indica Group (long-grained rice)
Lineage: Eukaryota; Viridiplantae; Streptophyta; Magnoliopsida; Poales; Poaceae
Description: lncRNA OsZS97_05G018980
Source: RNAcentral
CCUCUGCCGCCCCUAGGGCCGCCACCAUCUUCGGGAUCCUCCUCCCCCUCCUGGACUCCUAGCUCGUCGCCGCCCCAAGGGCCGUUGUUGGAGACCUCUGCAGCCGUCGUCGAGGAAAAUCUCUUCCACCCGGACUCCCAGGCAUCUGUCGUCCCUAGGGCAGCCACCGCCAACGGGAUCCGCCUCCUCAUUGCGAACCUUGCACCGGCACUCAGGCCGCCACCGUCUCGGGCCGCCGUCGCCGCCGGAGAAGUCUUCCGCCCGAACUCCCAAGCACUUCUGCCAGACGCCGCUGCUAACGAUACCACCUCCACCCAAUCCCGCCGUCUCCUUGCCAAGGAUACGCUGCCGACGUUUAGGCCACCGCAGUCCGAAGGGACGCCGCCGUCGACUCCAGAACACCUCAGCUACCGCCCUUAA